CUAUCAAAGAUUUAAUAAACAGACAUUAUUUCACAGAUCGCACACUCAUUUCAAUUUUGUCAACAAUUUAUAUACUAGUCAGACAUAAAAACCUUUAUUGUGUGACCCCCCUAGUUAAAAUAUUUUUUGAUGGUAACCCCCCCAAUGGUAUGACAUUUUUGGCAAUGACCCCCCUAAAAUGCACCGACCCCCUCAGCUGAUAAAUAAUGACUGUUCCCUAA
This 221-nucleotide long non-coding RNA is filed under the name Mytilus galloprovincialis (Mediterranean mussel). Lineage: Eukaryota; Metazoa; Mollusca; Bivalvia; Mytilida; Mytilidae. The record is from RNAcentral.